RNAcentral lists this long non-coding RNA (20321 nucleotides) under Musa acuminata (dwarf banana). RNAcentral's name for it is "long non-coding RNA (MACU_LNC002106)". The record is from RNAcentral. Lineage: Eukaryota; Viridiplantae; Streptophyta; Magnoliopsida; Zingiberales; Musaceae.
AGCACUGCAAGUUCAAGAAAAAGAGCAUUUUCAGCAGAGAAUGGUGGUGAUACACAUAAGAAAUCGGAAGUUAAUAUAAAUAAUGUUUUCUGUAUACAGGUUGGACAUUAUAUGAAUGUUUCUCAAAUGUAUUGAAGGUGUAAAUAAUUAAAAAUAAGACUUUUAAUCUUAUUGGAACGAGGAUGGUUCUUCCUUGGUUGGUGAAAGAGGAGGGAGUAAAAGUCUCAAAGGAUCUAAAAUCCUUUCUCUGGUUAUUUUGGUAGAAUGAUAUCAGAGGUGCAAUCAUGUAUUAGCCAUAAGCAGUCUGGUCUGAGCAAUGUAACAUGAUGCAUGGACAUAUUGAUGCAUAAACUGGCUAUUUCCUGUGCACCUGUCUUCCCAUAGGUUGUACCUGGAGUGCCCCAAGCACAUUACCUGGAAUGCAAUUGACAUUCUAUUUCACCACCUAUGCAGCUAUCCUUUUGUAUGAUUUCGAUGCCUCUUCUUUUUUAUAACAGAGUCUGUAUGAGUGGGUAGUUGUUUCUAGAAAUUGUAAUGGAUCAACUAUUUAAACCUUAUGAUUUAUUGUGUGCCUUUCUUUGUAUAGAGUUCAGUUUUGAGAUUGAUAGAUUGGUUAUUGGAGUAUAGACUAAAAGAUAUGUGUUGAUCAGGCGUGGGUUGUAAUUGCAUUUUGAUGAGCUACAGUCAAUAAAUAGACCUUUUAAAUUGAGAACUAAUCAGCUAAAUGUUCUACAUGGUAAUUGCUAUAAUUGAAGUGGCAUGUCAAGGUGUUUAUUCAAUUUUGCUAUUCAAGCUUGUUUUAGUUGGACUUGUUAUUAAUGAUUAGAGUUCUAGUGGUUUUUUAUUAAGAGUUAGGGUUUGGUAGUCCUGAUGUUCAAUCAUUAACCAGUCAUUUUUUUCAUAUGAAUUCAAUACUUUGACGACAAAUGAUGUAUAUAUAUAUACACACACACCUUUUCAAUGAGUGUGUUGAUGCUCAUGGUUCACCACAAGGUGUGCUGUUGGUGUCCAAAAUAGAAUACCAUAACCACAUUGAUGUGUUAAUGAUGCAUAUCGCAAUCACGUUGUCAUUGUCAAGUGUCUUUAUCAUGUGCUUAAAUAUUAUUUUUUUAUGUGCCUAAUUUGCUUUUGUAUGGUGAGUCUUCCUUGUACGAUCUUGCUUAAACAUCAGCUUUUCUCUUGCAGGAACCACCGCGGUCUCCGUCAUUUCUGGGGUCUUCGAGUUCGUGGUCAGCACACCAAGACAACUGGCAGGAGGGGAAAGACUGUUGGUGUCUCUAAGAAGCGAUGAGCUUAACAAUCCUCUUUGAUGUUGUCUUUCGAUCUUGAAGUCAUCACCUAAGUUUUAUUCAUCAUGUUGGAGAAGACUAAUUCUUUUUAAUGGUUUGGUUAUGUUUAGGUAACAAUUUUGAUUGUCAAUGGAACCGUAACAUUGAUGAAAGUUAUUUCUCUCGGUCAUUUUUCCAAUGCCUUUUUCUGACAACUGGAUAUUGUAGUUUUGAGUUUGCUCCUCAGAAUUGCAUGGCUUUGAAAUAGGAGGUCCCAUGGUAAAGAUUAUUACCACCCUUUAAAAGAGUCCUCAGUUCUUUAGAUGACUCUGGAUCCAAAUGCACUAUAGAAUUUGAGGUCAAUCUCUGUCAUCCCCACAACGGUGAGCAUAUUGCAACAACCGGUAGACGAAAUGUUUGAUAUUUAUACAACUUGGGAGAGUCUUCCAUCCUCAAGGGAUGACGACAAAUGCAUCAUCUCUGCUUAGUCAUAGACACCAAUAUCCUAGGAAUGCCUGGACAACAUAACAAACGUUUGAACACCAAAUAAGUUGGAAAUGUCACUGGAAAAGAAGAGAUUAAAUAAACUGGUGUUCAUCAAAGCUGAAGCUAGUCAUUAUUAUGCUUUGAGCAAUUUGUAGCUCUUCCAUCCUCAAAAGAUGGAUCAUUAGCUCUCACAUCAGCUAUCUUCGUGCUUUAGUCACUAUUGGCUCCUGCAACUGUGGAAGCCAACUUGUAAGGAUCAAAGAGCAUACAUAUUCUUUAGCAAAACAUGAACUUAGAAAAAAGAACAUUUUCCAGUGUCUCAAGAAAUUUUCUGUAAAAUAAAUAAUGCACUAUCGUCCCAGGAUAAGCAACACAAAAUCCUAUUCGAGUUGCAUUGACUUUGACAUAUGAUGGUUUCGGGUGCAUAAGAUGGCAAAGUUUUAACCUGAAGGGAGAUUUAGCAGCUAUUAGGCUGCCAAUUUUGCUAGGACUUUGAGAAUUUGAUAUGUUUUGGUUACAGAAUCAGCCCAGUGAGCAGUGGCCUGGAAAAUUUUUAUCUUGAAUUUGUUGUGUCAAGUAAAAUUUCUCUUUGAAAAGAAAAGAAAAAGAUAUCCAGCAUCAGCUACAAAAUUCCAGAUCAAAUUUGAUCUAGUCUUACUUACUAUGGAGCCCUGUCGAGGGUAAAACUUCAGGUAUAAGCAUGGUUGUCCUCCCCUCCAGUAGUUGGUUCCUACCUGCAGGAUAAAUGUUUACCUUUUAUCUUAAUGAAUGUGUCUGACGUGUGCUGUCAGAUUUAAGCACUCAAGACUUGUGUAUUUCUUAGAUAUUAUAGUAUUGAUUGAAAUAGAUUGGAAAUCCAUCUAAUAUCUUGAUUUUAGAUGACUUGGAAAUGGUAAAGACUCUAUGAAAUGAUGCAUAUAAAUUAUGAACUCUCUGCAGAGAGUCUUUUGUUUGAACAGGCCAUCCAUUGUAGUUGACUUUUAUUACUGAAUUAUUUACAGAGCUGUCAAUCUCCUCCGUCUUGCCAUAAACAUUCUCUUGGUCCAUUAAUUAAAUCUAAAAUAUUUAUACCUUAUGAUUCCUGAUUUCAACUCUGCAACAGUCUCAGAAUAGAUAUGUAAUCUAAACCACAAUAAUUAGAUACAUUAAUCCAAGCUUCUUGUGAAGCUGGCACCCGAUGUGAUACCUAAGAAGAGAGUGAUGUGCCAACUGCUGGUUUUCUUCUAUCAUUGUUUGGAUACUUCUCACCGAUUGGCUUACUUCUGACUGAUCUUAUCUAUACUGCUACACAGAUCAUGAUGCAGGAUCUUUCUGAUUUGUUUGGCAACAGCCAUUCAAUUAGGGUGCUUCAAAUAUAUUUUUAUGGGUAAAAGGAAUGUUCAAUCCUUUUCAUAUCUCUAUCAAACCUUUUAUCCUAAAAUGAAAAAUACUAGUGCUUUAUCCUAUCUUAUAUACUUAACUCUCGGUGUGAGAUGUGCACCCACAUGCUAAUGCUUGAGAAGCAAGAAAACUCGAUGAAGAUAGGAUUAUAAAUCUCAAAUUUAUAUACUUUUUUCCUUUCUUUCAUCUUCCACAGAAAGGAGGUACUGAAAUAAAACUAUGGAUGUGUGUUUGCAUUCUUUACUCAAUUCUCAAAUGGAUGACUCUUAAACACAAGUUAAGCUCUUCCUUUUAGGUCUCAUUUCUCUGGUCAGGUGGCUUGAUAUAUCCUUAUCAUUAUGUGCUAAUCAUUCUUUAUUGCAGUUCACAGUGACCUAUCAGGAACAUUUUGUUUUCAAGCCAUCAUCACUUCACCUAUUACUUGGCAGCAUAUCAUUAUCGAGGUCUCAUUGAACAUAAUUCCCCAAAACUAGUUGUCUUUAAAUACUCAUUAUCUUUCUUACCAUUUCAUAUUAAUAUAAACAAAUUCCAAAUGCUUAGUAUAAUCUGAGAUAAAGCUGCUGAGAACUACACAGCUAUCCUUCACCACCUCCCUAUAAAUCCCCAAUGCAUGUUUCUGAUGCAGUGAGGAAAUUUUGCAACUGUCAAAUCAGAUUAAUCAGAGUAAAAGUCAAAGAUGCAUCAGUCAAAGGAUUCAGAUACAUUAGGCACAUGUUGUAUGACCAUCAAAGCUUGUGUAUCACAUGUGUACUGUGUGAGGCAGGAUGGUCUCUUUGUAGUGUAUACUUUUGUCCUCUCUCUUGUUUUCACUGUGUUUCUUGUUUCUGCUGUCCCAGAGACUGCAGGUAAGAUUCUUGCACUCUUCACUGGAAUCUCCCCCAUCUUGUGGUGUUGGUGGGGUAGAUUUGUCUGGUAACUUCAACAUGUCCCAAGCUUUCUUAUAUACCUCUCAUGGACUGAGAAAUGUAUGAUUACUAAUUAUGUCAGGUUUGGUUCAUCAGAUGAAAAAGUUCUAUAAUGCUACUUCAUAGCUGCACUUUUAAGUGCAUGAGAAAUCAUCUGUAAUAAGUAUGGUAAUACUUUAUAUAUUUAGGAUUAAUUACAUGCAUCUUUAUUAGUUGUUAUGCUUCUUAAAGAAAAAUAUAUUCGGUUAAAGAUAAUUAUUUUUUAUUAUAAUAUAAAUUUUAAGAUUAUCUUUUUCUUACUAGAGACUAGGUUACCAAUGAUUCCUAUUCUCAUCGACAUAAAAUCUUCUCGAUAAACUAUUAUUAUAAAAAUAUUAUUAUAUAUGCAUUCAUAAUUUAUUCACAGUAUGAUCUAGAAAUAUAUAUCGUCAAAUUUUGUGUGGGUUGGAAUGAUAUUCUAUUUAUCAAUUUGAGUCUGAAAUUAAAUAAAAUAAGAAAACUUUAGUAAAUAAAUAUAGGGUGAAAUUUCAAAAAAAAUUAAAAAUUUCUCAUAGAGUAAUAUUUUUUUAAAUAAUCAUUUUACCUUUGCCCAUGCCGAACCUGCUUCUCCUUUCUUCUGUCCUGUCAAACUUGUCAUCAUCUUCGUUUCUAUACAAUGGAUGAUAACAAUAAUCUUGUUAGACAUUUUUUCACUGACAAGGAUCGUGAAAGAGAAUGAUGAGAGUCGCCAUCGUCGUUCUCCCUCCUUUCUCAUGCAAGAGCAACAAGGACGAGAUGGGUUCGACAAUGUCUAUUUAGACGACAUAGAGCAUAGGCGAUAACAUAUUCGAUAAAAAUAAGGAUAAAUUUAUUAUUUUAAAUAAUAAGGAAUACCAUGUGAAAUUUUUUUAAAGUUUUAAACAUUCAAUCACAAUUUAUCAAAGAUGAAGUUUUUUUUUGAAAAUUCGCCCAUAAAUAUAUCCAUUUAGUAAAUAACUUUUUCCUUUUUAAGUAUGUCAUGUAGAUAAACACCUUAGCAAGUGAGUGAAACCUACAAACGCAAACAGAGUAAAAAGGACAAGGAAUGGCUUCACUGCAAGCGGCCCGACAUGACCGCCAAGCACGCAUGAAGAGAGGAGAGACGGGCUUCACUGCCAUGUCUAUCAGAUCAAACACCACAGAAUACCAUCAGCCAUAGCCAGUGGGAGUAGAGGCUUUUAGGUGUUCUGUUCUCCCUAUUCCUAGUGGUGGAUAAAAGAGCUUCCAGUUGUGGUUUAUCUUCUCACACCGUGGCUCACUGGUUUUGUGCCUCACUGUCUCGUAUGUCCUGAAAGGCACCGUGUUUGUUGCUGGAAUUCCUUUCCUGUGCUCGAUCUUUUCAUCUUUUUUUAUUAUAUAUUUAUUCUUCGUUUCCUGGGAGUUUUCCUCUUCGGGUGGCUUAAAGCUAUCCCAAAAUUGCAGCAGAAUCCAAUCUUGAUUCCUGGACCUACUGCGGUGGGUUGUGGGAUUUCAUUUCCUAGAAGAAAGGUUCCACCUUUUUGGUGCUUGUAUUGGGUUCCAAGAUUCUCCGAUCCUUUUAUUCUGGUUCUGGGUGUUAUCGGAGACUUCGGUUGAACGAAUUGUUCUUGGAUUUGAUUGAAGGCUUGGGUUUUUUAGGCGUUUCUUCCCGAAAAAUCCCCUUUUUUGGGUCGUAAAAUGAGCCUUCAGGGGUUGUGAUCUGACAUGAGGGUUUUAUCAUGCAAUUGCCACUUUCCUCUUGACUGCUGCUCCGAGUCAUCGGUCCGCUGUUACCCGCCUUGCACUCCCAAGUCGGAGUGGGGAGACGCCCAAAAUGUUUUCUCGAGCCCGGCUCCAGUUUCUAUGGCUUUGGAGGAGAAGCCAUCUGAUGAGAAGGUUGUGACCGAGCAAAAUAGUGCAGAGGAUGUGAUGGUUGAGAUCUUUUUGAAGAGCUGCCUAAAGAAGCCAAGAGUAUCGGAUUCAGGACAGGUUGGAAAGCUCAAUGUUAAAUGGACAGAUUUGUUGGGUAAAGAACUUGUUGAAAUCAAGGAGUUUGAAGCAGCGUAAGUUUAUCCUUACCAUGCUUACUGAAAUGGUUCUUAUUGCUUUGAUCUUUACAACGUUAAAACUUGCAUUACUUAAUUCUAUGUAUGUUUGAUGUUAUUGUAAUGUUGUUCUAUGGUUAGCAAAGGUCGAGACAGCGAUCUGUCUGCUUAUUUAGAUAAUCAUUCCUAGAUAACAAUUGACUGAGCCUUAGUCAAGUUUUGCAUUAUGAUUUUAGUUCUGUAUUCACAUCGUUAAGUUAGAUGCUGGAUUCGUUUGUGUAUACUGUUCUAUUAAAUCAUGGAUGUGAAGACAGACUUACGCACUGUCUUGCAUUAUGCUAUCUGCAUCUUUUUAUGACAUCGUCCUUUAUCGUUUAAUCACAUUUCCAGAAAGGAUAUUUACAAUUCCUAUGUGUUGUUCUCAAAGACUAACACUUCUAAUCUCUUUGUGGUUUUCGUCUUAGGAAACCUAGGUAUACAUAUUUUAUGGGAUUUAGUUUGCGAAUAUCUGGGUUCCCACUUAAAAAUAUGACUUGACUGUUUUGUUUGACAACUAACUUGUCGUUCGUAAUUUUCAUAAUGUCAUUUUGGAUGUUUUGCACUCCUGUCUUUUUUAUUAUUGUCUUCAGCACACAGUGUACAUUAAAUGGUCACCUUUCUUAGCGUAAAAUAUAGUUGGGAUUUUAUUUUGUUGUCAGUCAUUGGCUCAACCCGUGGGAUUUUGGUUUUGGUAAUUUUAGUGCAUUGUGGGUUUCCUUAAAAACCUGCCUGGUACACCUUUAAAUGGUUUUCACCUCAGAAAUAUCUGCUCAGCAUCCUCAUCUCAGUGACGCAAGUUCUUUUAUAGAUAUUUUAUAUUUCCUAACUUAAUGUUGCGUCAGACUCGUCUUACAGAGACCCAGGGCAAUAAACAAUGGUACUGAUGUUUCAAUUUAUUUUAUUUACUUGAGAGAUGAUUAGGAGAUUUUUUGACUUUUGUGGAUACAAGUCAAGUUAAUUGGAGGCUAGGCAUUAGUUAAGUUGAUACAAGUCAAGAAUCAGAGCAGGUUAAGAUGGAUAUGUCAUAUCAAUUAAUUCUCCUUAUUUGCUCUGGUUUUGGAAAUUACCUUAUCAGCUGUUAUUUUCUGUGGUUACAACUUCAACUUCAAGUAGCCUUUUUUCAAAAAUUAAUGAAAGUAAAGGUUAAAAUUGAUGAAUAUGUUAUUCUAUUAAAUUUAUAUAAUAUGGAGGUUAACACAAACCAUAAAGAACAAAUCAGAUCUGGUACUGACUCUUCUAGUGAAAACUAAGACAGUAUAUAGAGCUCUCCUGUUAUGGUCAAGACUGAUGUUGUCUCACAAAGCUGGCACACAACUGAAUAUGAUGUGUCCUUAUCGGUUCUGCAGCGGACAUUAACGUUCAUCUUGAGUUUUUCAAGACGCCCAGGUUGCAGUACAACGAUGUCGACACUUGUUUGCUUAAAAAGCUGGUAUGGGACAAUAUGCUGAAUUUCAAUUUGAGUUACUUACCGACUCAAUUAAAAUGGAGUCUGUGGUAAGUUGUUUGAACUCAAGUGUAUCAUGUUUUACCAUAUCUAUGAUAUUUUAUCAAAAGUUUGUCAUAGUGAUUAGGUGAAAUUAAAAGUUACAAUUUGCAUUUGGUAAGUAAAUUGGGAAUCAAAUGAAAGAAGGGUAGGGUUCAUCGUGGUGGAUUAGGUUAAGCUAAUACAUUUGUGUUUUACCAUGGACUGAAGCUAAGAAUUGGACUGAGUCAUAAAUGGACUUGAAAAUUAAACUAGGUCAGAAUUGAGUUUAUUCGUGGGUUUGGGAUUCACUCGAAAUUGUAUUAAGAGUUGAACCUGGAGUCCUAUUUGGACUUGGACUUUAUUCAAGGGUUGGGUUGGGUUAGGUGGAUUGGAUGUCCAACAUCCAUUAUUUGAGUUAUAUUGGUUAUAGCCAGUUUCUGAUCACACUUGUCGGUUCACCCACUAAGGAAGCUAUAGUUCCGAUGAGUUUCUGCAUUUCUGAAUUUUCAUUGACUUGAAGCCUCUGAUCUGUAACAAAUCUAUCAUGAAUUAACUUCGUGAUAACAAUAGGGGAAAAAGGGAAGAGUGUGACUUCCUUUCUCUUGCCGUAAAAGUUGAUGAUAUCUGGUGAAUUUCUUGCUUGUUAUCUGCUUCAGUUUUUGUUUUUAUUAAGUGAGCCUUUAUAUUGGUUGGUUACUGUUACCAAACUUUCAUCAGCCUCUAUGAUGGGAUUCUUCAUAAAUCAUCUAAUCAUUUUAUUUAAAUAUUACUAUGGAUGCUUAUGAUGAUUUGACAACCGAAGUUGAUUUCUGAUAUCUUAUUCCAUUAUCUUAAUUAUUUUUUUUUCUUGCCUACAGUGAAUCUGAAGAAUCAGAGGAUUUCACUGAUGACAGCAUUGGAUGCCUUUGUGUUGUUCAAUGACAAGGAUGUACUUCUCUAAAGCCUUCAUGGAAAAACCAACGCGAACUGCUCGAUGUUUGAUUCUGUUUGCACUUCUCCAUCACAGAGUCAAUUAAGUCAUCAAUCAUCCAGCUUUUCCUGCUCCUAUUUCGAUUCCCUUCUGCCGCUACAAGUCAAACUUAAAAAGUCAAGCAGAAGCAGUUGCUCUGGAGUGGCAUUGAUUGGGUGCAUUUCAUAUAUUGGAUGUAGUUGGUACUAAUGUAAAAGUUUAAAUAAAGUAGACUACAGUGAUGUCCAGAAUAUCCAGUUUCAUAUGUUGGAUUUUAUAGGAAGUGAUUGUUGAACUUCUUCCUCUUUGCAUCAAGUGUUGGUUGUUUCUUUACUGUGGAUCUUUCUGAAGUGUUGAUGCAGUCUGUAUACAUUGUCUUAGAUUUUUAAUGAUACUGCCUAAAUAAAUUUAGCCAGACUUUUCUUAACACUGUAUAAUUUAUUUGGAUUUACCCAUAUUGGCUUUUUAUGAACAUAAUUCAUGUAUAAACAGGACAGUUUCAAUAAAGAGUAAGUACAUCCUAAUUUGAUUUAAUAAAUGUGAUUUCUUUUUUUUAUUUUAUAAAAAGAACACAGAACAACCACAAGAGCUUCUGAGUGGAUUGAGAUGAACAAGGAGCUAAAUUUAUUGCCAUAUACCUACUAACUAUUUGUUUGUGUCAAAUUGUAGUCUACCAAUGACAUCCCACUGCAACAUAAUCUGAACCAGAAUGACUGAUUCAAAGCUAAUUGUAUUAACAAAUCAGAAUAAUAUAAUCUAAAAAACCAGCUUCAAGUCCUGCAUUGAACUUAUGCUUUAGUCAUUUUAUUUAACAUAUAAAAAAAUUAAGAGAAACCAAUAAUUGCUCAGAAUCACAAUUUCAGCAGUGUAAUGAGGCACAGUUACUUCUACAUUAAUAUGCCUAGUCUAUUAGAAAGAUAGGUCUUAAUAUACAGUAAAAACAAAAAUAUACUUCCAUAAUGGUUCUAUAUUCUAAUGAAAAUUUCUAGUUAUCCGGAAACAUAUUUAGCUAUAUUCAUCUUAAAAAUACUUUGAUUUUUUUUGCCAUUAUUCAUCAUAAUCUAUGAAUUAAUUGCUGACUGAGAUUAAAGGGACGUACAAGUGUUAGGAAAGUGGCAACAGAUUUGGGUCUUCUAGCUCAUCUUAUCAGCCUUCUGAAAUCAAUAAUCUUGCAUGGCUUAAUGAAGAGAGAGAGAGAGAGAGAGAGAGAGAGAGAGAGAGAUUGGCACUUAAAGAUAUUCUUCAUUGACAUUAAGCUCAAUCCCAUGCUUGAACUUUGACCUGCUCUGGAUUGAACUAAUUGUAAUCAAGAUCAUGCAACAAAUAGUCUGAUUUAUGAUGUCAUGGCUUAGUGAAGGAAGAGAGAGAGAGAGAGAGAGAUAAGAUAAUCUUCGAUCACAUCAAACUCCUGUUCCUAUGCUUGAAAAGAGGAUGAUUCAUACAUCAGCAUCAAAAGAGAGAACAAAGCCACAGAGCUGUCUCUUAAUGUUGUGUGGGUAUAUAGUAAUUUUCAGUACACAUCCGUCAGCUAUAUUUAUAAGCUUUAAAGCCUUAUCUCAUUGUAAAUAUAUUAGGAUUUGGUAGCCGCAUUUUGAGCGUGCAUCAUUGAUUAUUCCACCAUCAUUCCUUCCGAGAAGCUUCCACCAUGCUCCAAACAAUCUUACAGGCAUUUACACCCCCCCUUUACCUCCUCUUCCGAGGUUUCAAUGUUCAGCUUACAUCCAUGUCUAACCCUCAUCCGUCCACAUCUUCACCGUAAUCUCUCUCUCUCUCUCUCUCUCUCUCNNNNNNNNNNNNNNNNNNNNUCCGUCCACAUCUUCUACCGUAACUCUCUCUCUCUCUCUCUCUCUCUCUCUCUCUCUCUCUGUCUCUCUCUAGUACGGCUUAUGUCUUCUACUGCAAGAACUCCAUUUCUUGGACAUGGAAACAAAUCUGUGGGAUAAGAAAAGAGCUCUUAUAUGUUCCAUAGGUCGAUGCAUGAUAACCAUCUUUAGUAGUACCAGGCGAGGACAAGUUUGUUCCUUCUAUCUUUUCUUUUCUUGUCCUUCCUUCUUCCUUCUUUCUCUUCAGUGAGCAGAUUAUUUCUUCUAGCACUUGUUUCGGUUGGUGGCAUCUACUUCACCGUAAUUUUCCUUUACUUGCUUCGCAUGAUUUAGCUAACUGGUUUGAUCAAAUGCAUGCAUGCAAGCGAUGAGAAGUUGCUGCUUUGAGAGUCGCAAUCAAAUAACCCUGAUGCUGAUCUGUAAGUAGGGGAGGAGAGGAUGGUGAUCACAGGGAGCAGCCAGAGGUAGGAAGUGCUGCAAGGCAACCUUUAAUGCCAGACGACGGCUACCAGUGGAACAAGUACGGUCAAAAACACAUCAAGAACAUCAACAAGACCAGGCAAGUAACUACAAGCGUAUCAGUUUGAUCUUAAGUUGUAUGAGAAUUAGCUGCUCUGAAAUGUUUCUGCCGCCUCCAACUCCAUUAUCUCAUGUGCAGGAGCUACUUCAAGUGCCGAAACAAGGAGUGCAAGGCAAAGAAGAGGGUGGAAUGGCCUCCUGCUGAUCCAUCCAACUUGAGAAUUCUCUACGACGGAUCGCACCACCACCAUCCUCCAGCGGAUUCACAGCAGCUCCCCAGUGUUGCAGGAAACCGGUAUGAGCUUGGCAACCAAGUUUUCGGUCGACUUAACGACCACCAUAAUCCCUAAUCUCUGGCUUAAUCCUCAUCUUGUAAUGUCCCAAGAUGAGCUCAGACUAUGCAUAUAGCAAUCCCACGCAAUAAAUGAAGUCCCUUCUUCUCUUUCGAAUGCUUUCAAUCCAGUGACAUAUUCUUUCAAGGUGAAUUCAGACUGCAGGUACAAAGGUGUUGAAUGCUGAAUGCUUUAAGUACUCCAUUGGUGAACAUGAGAGGAUCUUUAACUGCGAGCAGACGAUGAGAACAGAGAAAGACUAGAUAUCAUAGGACUGAUAGAAUAGUCAUAACUUUAAGGUCAGAAUGACCAAUCUGAAUUGUGGUUCAACUACCAUGGACAGCUUCUGGAUAGAGGAAUCAGCUCAACUAUAUACUAUGGAGAUGAUCAUUAAGAGGUUCUAUACGCAUCGGUACUUUGUUUUUGAUGGUGUGUUUGGCAUAAUUUCCUUCUUCCAUAUAUCAAAUAAUGCAUGUUUACGACAAAUUAGAUUCCAUUCAGAUCGAGUUAAUUGAUUGUGCACCAGUGUACGUAUAUCAGAGAGAAAUCACGGCAAGUGUAAAGUAGACUCGUAACAAGCUAAUGAUAUACCAUGUUCUGAAGAGACGAUUCUUCCGGGUGAUUGACACAUUACCAGGCAAAUCGCGUUCUUCGAAUCAACUAAUUGAAGAGGUACAAAACUCCAAAUCACCUAAAAAUUUCUGUGACCAAUUUUUUCUUGAGGAUCAAACGACUUUGGAAGCUGGUCAUCCUAAUCUUCGUGAAGUAUGAAAACAGCAUUUUGUUAUUAUAAUAUGUUAUUAUAAUUUUUUUUUGAGGAUCAAACAUAAAAAUCAUAAUAUGUUAUUAUUUUAUGAAAUUUUUUAAUACUAAGACUAAAAUCAAAUAAUAAUAGAUCUAAAUAUUUCCCAUGCAUAUCAUUCGAUGCUGCUCAGAAAGCUCUUAUCUGAUCUAUAAGCAUAUCGUCAUCGGAUCCGAAAUCUAUAGUAAUACCGAUCUAUAAGGAGAACUAGACUCGUUUUUUUCUCUCUUUCUAUCCUUCAUAGAACUGAUUAUGAUUGAUGAAUUUAGGGAUAGAUAUGAUAUGAGAGAAGAUCUCUAAUCUCUUAUUGAUUGGUUCACGUGACUAAAGGAAGAUGAGAAAAGAUCUGUAAUCCCUCAAUCAUAUCAUGUAUCUACAUAUCUGUAUACCCAUUCGUGUAUAUGAUUAUUGAGUCUCUAAGAGGUCUGGUCUAUUUAUAGGUAAGAACAUAGGGUCUAUAAUAAAUUAUUAGGAGAGUCUCUUCCACUAAAGUCAUAUCCUAAAAAAUCAUAUCAUAAUUAAAAUUCCUUUCUAUUAGCUAAUGACUAUCAUUAGAAUCCAAUCAUAUCAAUAAUAUAACUUACCUAACUAAAUAGAACUACAUAAUCUAAUAUAAACUUCUUAUUUCAAAAAAUAAGAUACAACCAAAAUCCUACAACAGUAAUCACUAUUUGAAAAAUUAUUUCAUAAAAUUCUAAAUCUUUAAAAACUCAAAAGUAUUUGGUUAUUUAUGUUAUCCCUAACUAUGCAUGUAUGCUUCACAUAAACUAAUUAUUUCUAAAAGAUAGUCUAUAAUUUUUAUUCCUAGGGUAAUCAUCACAUGAUUUGUAAUUCUACCCGAUUUGAAAGUUGAAAGGGAGUAACAAAAAAGUAGUUGUUGAAUGGAGGAUGAUGGAUACCUAAGGCAAUGAUGCCACACAUUGAUUGAAGUAACAACUGAAGUAAGAGCAUUUAGUUGGGUGAUUUGUAAAGCUAACGACCACUCAUAUAUGUUAUAUUUAUUCUGGCCAAACUAAAGAUGCUCCCAUACUCAAAUCCUUUAUAAGAAAUGAGUCAUGUAAAAACUCAAUAAAUGUGUUAUUUUGUUUACAGAAAUGAUAUAUUUUUAAUGUGAGAUGCACACAAAAUAUCAUCGAGUGUAAAAAUAUUGGUAUUUGAAUUAAGUAUUAUAAAACUAGUGUGAGUAACAGAGAUUCCAUUAUCGUAACCAAUGAUGUCUUCAUUGCCUCUAUAGUUGUCAUAGAUAGAUAAGUUCUGUAAAUCAGAAGUUAUAUAAUGAGAAUUCCUAGUCAUAAAGAAAACCUCUACGUAGGGAGAAGGGAAGAUGCCGACAAAGGGAGGAGGAGGCUGUCAAUGUAGGGAGGAAGUGGAGUAGACGAUUGCGACAAGGCAGAUUAGGAGAGAAGAGGCAGGAAAUAGAGGAAGACAAUUGCGACAAGGCAGAUUAGGGGAGAAGAGGUGAGGGCAGAGGAGGUUCACCGGUGAGGAAGAAGAGGGAGGUUCCUUAUGAGAGGGUUAAGGUGACAAACCUUAUGAGCAAAGCCCUAUGUCACUUUGUGGGGUAGACAAUGACAUCAACCCCACACAAGGGAAUGUGAGGAAUCAAAAGAUCUUUCAAGUCAGGAGUUGUAGGUGAGAAGGAUCUAUCGGUGAAGAGAUGGGGAAGCAGGGUUCAAUGUUAUAGGAAAUGACUAUGGAGGAGAGGCAGCACCGCGACCAUAGUGGCUUGAAGUCCGCUUUUGCCGAGCAAGAUAUGGUAGUUUAAGAAAGACCGCCAAGCAGAAUAGCAAUCGUAGUGACUUGAAGUCCGUCGAUUAACGACAUAUCAGCAGGGGAGAAGUAUUGCUAUCACCGAUAGAUCAACGACAAAUUAUUAUCAUCGGACAACGAAUAAGGGAAAGUCUUGCUAAAGGAAAAAGAGCUUUCAUACCAUGUAAAAUUGAGAAAUAUGUUAUGAAAUAGAUUAAUUUUAUAUGAGUAUUUAUACAGACUUUAAGUAAGAUAUUUUUCUCAAUUGUGUACUCAAAUCCGUGGUUAAUCCUCGAAUUAUAGAUUAUUAAAAAUAAAAGUAAAUAGAGAUGUUAUUACAUGUGUGUCUUUACGAUGAUCUUUUAUCAAUAAGCAUAAGAUCUUUUAUCAAUGAGUAUACUAUAUCUGAAAAUUGCACUGGUAACACAUCUAAAAUACCAAUCUGAAUAUAGAUAAAUGGUCCAAUCCCAGAUUUUUUGUCACUAAUAUUUUUAUUAAUUAUUCUCAUUCUACAGUCAGUCACACACUAAAUAAGAAGAAAAAGAAAAAAGAAAUUUUCAUUGGAGUUCCAUUUUAAGAGACUUGAAACUGAAAAUGCAACUAAAAGAAACAAGAAAACAACGAUAAAUAACAAAUCAAAGAAAUGCAUAAAGAAAAAAGAACACUUGUGUUUAGAAUUUGUAUCUUUAAUAGAAAAUGAUAUGUUGACCCCACUUUGGAAGGAUCUACAUUCAUGAUCUCCACACCUCCUCUUACGAUCUCAUUUAUGGAAAAAUGAGGAAAAAAAAAAAUAUUGAUGACUUUUAAUUGAAUCUUGAUUUGAUUUAUAACUCAAUGCUUGAUUAUUACGACAAUAAGAAUAUUAAGGAUGUUAUAAUCAUUUUAUAAUUUAUUAAUAUUAUAAUUUAAAUUAAUAAAACUAACUUUAGCUAAAUUUGAUUUACCUAAGUUUCUUAUGUUGUGUUUGGGAACACAUUUAUAAUUUUAAUGUACAUUUGGAAAAAGAAACUUGAGUGAAUAUAUAGUUAUACAAUGUUCUGAUUGUUUGAUAAAUAAUAAAUAAAAAUUAUAUUCUAAAUAUACAUUAACAUAAUAAUAUAUAGUUAUACAAGUGUUACUUGACAAAAUAAUAUUUCAAAAGUGAAUUGAAUAUUAUAUGAUAAAUUUACUCUUCUAAUAUUUUUAGUAUUUACUAAUAUAUAUAUAUAUAUAUAUAUAUAUAUAAUUUCAAUAAAUAAAUGAAAUGAAUGUAUGUAAUCAUAAAAAAACUUUGUAUUAGCCAAAUAUAUAAUAAGUAAAAAUAUAAUCAUAUAAAUGAAUAUAAAAUAAUCUUUUGAAAUAAAUAAAUAAAAUUAUACCAAGACAUAAAUUUUGUUGAUUUUUUACUAAAUCAUAUUGAUAAUCUUAUAAUUUUAGAUAAUGUCAUAGGGUACUUUGAAAUUUUUUUAAAAAAAUAUAUUAGUAUCCCACAAGUAUUGAAAUGUUGAUGCUACCUUGAAGUAUCAUCAACAUUUGAGCAUUUGUAAUAUAAUAGGCUAUAGGUAAUUUUUAAAAAAUUAUCAAAUACUUAUUCAUAUUUAAAAUGUGGAUUAGGUCCUUGAUACACAUUUCAAAUAUGUUGCCUAAUACAUCCUUAAUGAUCCUAAUAUCUAGAAAAACCUAUAUGUCAUAUUAAUAUUUAAAACUUUAAAUAUAUUAAUUUCAACCUUUAAACUCUCCCCCAAAUAUUUUAAUUUCAAUUUCUCAUCGACAAAGCUCAGUCAAUAAAUAAUUUCCUAAGAAUUAUUUAGGAAACACUUAUUACUCAAAGAAGUAGUUGCUUGUUUACCAAUUAAGUAACUUGUAAUUAAAUUUGUGCUCAUAAGAAACGGCUUGGAGCCAUUUAUUUUAUUGUAUAGCAUGCAAACCAGAACCUGAUCGAGAUCUUGCAAUAAUAUAUGUCCAAGUUUUAUCGAUUAUAUUAGUCAGGGUUUUCAAAAAAAAAAAAAUAGAUAUGUUUGGUAUGUGGGCUUAGUACUUCAAUAAGACUAAUAUCUUAUUCUGCAUUUAAAGUUAUAAUUAGAUCAUGAUUUUUUUUUACUUUAAAAUUAUUAGUUUUUCUUAUUUUUUCGUAAUAAAAAACAGAACCAUCUCUAAUCAGCACUUGAUCUUUGUUUUCUCACGUUAAUAUUCGAAGGAGAUGAGUGAGCUAAUUAUAAAUUACCUCGUAUAAUUAGUUGUUUUUAGUGUUUCGAUUCUUAUACUUUAAAAAGUUAUUAACAUCCCUAUAACUACAAAAGUGAAACAUUUAAGUUUAUUUAUCCUAACGAUGUCAAUUUCAUCGAUAGAAACAUGAAAAUAAAGGAUAAAAAUAUAAUUUUAAUCUUUGGUGGUGGGUAGUGACGCUGUUGGCAUUGACGUCGAUGCAAUUGCCUAGUUGCCUUCAAUGAUGAUAAGGUUUUAUCUCACUGCAACAUCACUUGCCUCCACGAGGAGUGUGUCACCGAUCUCAUCGCCGCUUGCCCCAUGCCACUCUGUAUCAGCGUCGACGCAAAUGAUGGUGGCCGCCAUGACGUCUAUGGCAAAGAUGGUGAUUGCUUAAUCGCUAACCCAUUGGGCGGAUCUCAGCUUCGACCCCUCCCCCUUUGCAUCUGCAUCGACAUCGAUGCAGAUGUCAAGCGGUCGUCACCCUCGAUCCAUGCUCCCUCGGUAAGCUCUGCACUAUGUCCGAUUACUUUCUUAGCAAGUGAUCAUUGUUGUUGGAUGAGACCAUCACCUUUGUCCAUGCCUCCAUGAUCAUCCGCAGCAACUCUUAUAUUGGCGGUUGCUUCUUUGCUUUGACCGCUAUGCAAGCCACCACAAUGUUUAGUAGUGCCAUCAGCUUCUCCUCGGAUGCCUCAUUCUCGAACGACUCAAGGUCCUUAUCGGAGUCAUUCCACUCCUCCUCUCGCAUGGAGCAGACCCACCAAGGGAUAUCGGUGUCACGCUCCUCCACUAAGUCUUGGAAGGGGAUCUUCUGUUCGGAUCGAGUCGGCACUAAAAGGGGGAAUUAGUGCCUUAGAUAAAAAUGUUGGUUUUAAAAAUUUCUUCAUUCGAUAAAACCAGAUUGGAAAAAUAACUUGAAAUCUCAUUCGUAAGCAUAGUAAAAGCAGUAAACAGGUAAGACAGUUUGCAGUAAAGAUAAAUUAUAAGAAUAGAAAUGCAAACUAAGUUUUAUAGUGGUUCAAUCGUCGUGAUAUGCAUCCACUUCGUUGAUUCCUUUUUCGUCGAGUCCACCGACAUUCCCUAACGAUCUUUCUUCACCGGAUGAAAAUUAAGUACCCUUUUACACUCUUUCUUCUUUUGAUAGGCUCCGGAGAGAACCUUUAUAACAUCUCUACCUUACUUCUCCGUUUAGAAAAACUUCUAAAUACUAAUUUCGUCCAUGUGAAUUAUCUAUUUUACUUUUUAUUUUUUUAUCAUUCAUGAAAUUUAGAGAUUGAAACAUUAAAGCCAAUUAACCAAUUAAGGUAACGUAUAAUUACUCAUAGACCAGUACAUUCCUAAUAAUUAUAGAUUUUCGCAUUUGAGUGGAUGAUCGAGAUGUGACGAUCGAGAAUUAUAAUGGCUCGUACUAAGAAAAUGAGGAAUUAGAAACAAGCGUGAGUACACGGAAUUCAUGAAUCAUUGUACCCAGAAUAGUCUGUGCCACUCAUCUUCGUUGACUUGAUUGACUCAAAAUAGAAAAGUCAACUCAUAAUAAAUAAAUAAGCAAUAAUGUCCAUAAAUCCAAGUUGGCAAAUCUAGCGUCCUAUUUUGACUCGUGGUUUGUCUCCAAUUGAGCCAUUCCACCACAUCUAAAAUUCCUAUACUUGGAUCGUGACAUGCCCACCUGCCACAAAUAAUGUUCAUAUAAAUUAUUCAGUUCAUAAUCUUUUUUUUCUUGAAAAAAAAGGAUCUCCUAAAAUAAUUCAAUCAACAAAAUCUUUUAAAUACAUCUCUCUCUCUCUCUCUCUCUCUCUCUCUUAAUUUAGAGGAAGAAAAUGUGCCAAGACUAUUUUGUUAUAAGUUUUAGAAUAAUUAUGUAAGUCAACUAAUUUUCAUUAAUUCCAAACAUUAAAAAAGGAAAAAAAAGUGAUGAUAGCCCAAAAAUCCCCUUUUUAAAAAAAAGUCAAAAUCGAUUGUUUUCUAUCAAAAGAAAGAGUCAAAUUCCAUGUAAUGUUUUGAAAUUGACAAAUAAGGAAAAUGAACUCAGAAUUAAGCUACACAAUGAUUAUGAUUUCAUAAUGAUGAAUAUUAAGUGCGAAAAUUGUGGUAAAAAAAGAAGGAUUUUGGGUCUGAAAAAUACCAAAAAGAAGAUCUAAUAAAAAUUAUAUAAGGAGAUUAUUUUAAGAAGCUUCUCAACCUCUAGUCAUAGGUCAAAGUGUAACCCAUGGUAUAAGUGGGUUCUCAUCAUAUUUGAAAAGAAGCUUUUCAAUCAUCCUCUAGUCAUGAUAGAUAAAUAAAAAUAUGUUAAGUGAAUUAAUCUAUUGCCUAAGGAAGACCCUUAUGGUCACAGGAAUGCUUUCAUAAUCAUAAAACUUCCAAUUAACCAGAAAUUUCAUGUAUUUUAUGUGGUCAUCAGAACAAGUUUUAGUAACACUCAUUUACUACUAAACCAAUUAAUUUUAAUAGUGAAAGAAAAUAACAAAAAAAAGAGCAUUUCUGAUAUAAAAAUUCUGUCUUUUGGCUAUUGCAUUUUUUUCACUCCCAUGUAAAUGUGGGAAGAACUUGACCUUAUAAAAAAGCAAACCACAACUUUGAUUAAAAAAAUAAAAAGAUUAGAAAAAUAAAAAGUUGUUUUCCUCCUAGAAAAUACUAUUCCUAACAUCAUAUUUUUGUAGUAAAAAUGUCUCUAUUUUAGUUUAUAUUAUGAAUCAUUUUUUAUUGAAUAUUUUUUAGUUGUUUAUAGAUCUAGAAUUAGAAGGAAAGAGGGAAAAGACUUUCCAUCAAGUUGUUCACCCGCUUUUCUUACCUGUGCGACGAAUAAACAACAAACUGGGCCCUAUGGGUCCUGCAGUAUCUCUAAACCAAUAUCUAGCAAGGUUCGGCAAACGAGUUGAAAUGAACACGUGCGUGUGAGAAUUAGGCUCGCGUGGCGGGGGCAGCGCAGGGUUGCUAUUUUAUUGACUUCUCGUCAAGACCCGAACCCUCUCUCCCUCGCUCCCGUGGCGGCGCCCUCUUCCUCCUCUCUCGUCUAGGGUUUCUCCUCCCCACAUCCGCCCUCUCCGGGGUUUGGGCCGUCGGAUCGUUUCUGGAAUCGCCCGCUACUCCAGCUACUCCACCACCUUCAGAUCCGACCAUGGCGACCGUGGCCACCCCUCCUUCUGCUGACCGUAUCCUUCCGUCGCCUGGGGAGUCGAUUCGUUAUUUCUCGAUCAGUUUUCGCUUUGAUUUCGGCCUUCUCUGACCGGAUCUACUUGUUCGGUUGUUCUCCGAUUCGUUUAUUUGCGUAAAGAGUGAUUUUGCUCCGCUAUUUUAGGUUUUUCAGGGUUUUCGUUGGGGUUUAUGCUCGGAUCGGAUGGCUAAAGCCUGGUGAACGCUGCUCCUGUGGGCUUUUGCUUCGAUUAGUGUGUUUAGGGUCGUCAAAAUGAGAUUUUGAACUAUGGCGCCGGUACUGUCCGGUAGUGUUUUCCUGCCUUGUUUAUGUGUUGUGUAAUUUAUCGGGAGAUUUUACACUUUGGUUUCGCUAUGUUAAGCUCGUGAAGCAAUGAACUUGGCCGAUUGAUUAGUAAUUUAAGUUGAUUUCAAACUAUGCAGAGUUUUACUCACGCGAUCCGGAGAUUUUUCAGGGGGUUCUUAAGACUUUGUUGCUGUUAUGCUUUGGGUUAUGUCCUAUUAGGUUAUACUGAAGUUUUCAGUAAAUACUGUUAUUCCUUCAUUAAUAUGUCACAGAGGCUACAGAUCUGAUACAGAAACUGUCGUUGGAUACUGCUAACAAGAGUAAUGAUUCCUCAGAGGUCAAAAAGAAGGUAGCUUUAUUGAUUCUGCCAAUUAUUUGUUGUACAUCAUGUUGUGUAUGUAGGUUCUUAAUUGGGAAAGAGCUAGUACUAAUGCACUUUGAAUUCAUCCAACAGCCUUCUGGAGUUCAGUAUGGUUCAGCAAAUGGUGGGGAAGCACCAAUUGCGUCGAUCCCAACAUAUGAACGAUCUCUGACGCCUCUUCUUCAGGAGCAUAUGGAUGCGGGCAUGUGUUACGUACCCAACGGAUACACUCCAUCUUUCUACUAUGGAGGUAAAUUGAUUCCAGCUUCUCGUUGUAUGUGGUUUCAAGAAUUAUCGAGUUAUUUGUGAUUCCACAUCAUCUUUUUAGUCAAAAAUUUUGCUCGUUGCAUGUAACGUGCUGUAAAUACACCUGAUUGAUGCAUGUUUGUUUCUUCAUGACUCUUCUUGUGGAUGUUUCAGUGAUUUUGUUUUAGCCAUGGUAAUUGUUUAGCUGCCCAAGAUUUUUAGUUUCUUAUAGAGGAGUCACCUAAUUACAAUUGAAAGUUUUCAGGUUAUGAUGGAUCAAUGGCGGAGUGGGAGGAUUACCCUAGAUAUGUUAACUCUGAUGGAGUGGAGGUGCCUCCACCUGUAAGAUGUGUUGA